Bubalus bubalis (water buffalo) is the source of this 791-nucleotide long non-coding RNA. RefSeq lists it as uncharacterized. The transcript has 2 exons. NCBI's taxonomy places the organism in Eukaryota, Metazoa, Chordata, Mammalia, Artiodactyla, Bovidae. The record is from RefSeq and is a predicted model, not a curated record.
CACGCCAGUAUUCUUUCCUGGAGAAUCCCAUGCACGGAGGAGCCUGGUGGGCUACAGUCCACGGGGUCGCAAAGAGUCGGACACAACUGAGCGACUUCACUCACCCAUGGGGUAUGGUAAGACGUUGACUCGAUUCUCAGCCGUGGAAAGGAAUAGUGAUAAUAGCACUAAUCACAGGGUUGUUGGGAGAGGUAUUUAAAACCACGGGUUUUGUGCGUUGGCCGGUGCGCGCUGCCCACCCAGCUGUCGGUCCGUUUCACGUGAAGGCUCAGGGAACUUGGGGAGCCUGCUUCGUCACGUCCACCAGGGGUCGCUGUUGCCCGCGGGGCUGCGUCCUGGCCGCACCGCACGACCUCUCGCCUCCCGCCUCCAUCAACUCCCACCGUUUGGCCUCCCGCCUCCAUCAACUCCCACCGUUUGGCUCCUAACUCGCUCUGCAUUCACCCAGUUCCUUUGGACCCUACAGUUAAUGGGCUCGCUAUAUCACUGUUUAAACCCAGGAACUAGAAGUCCCCAGUGAUCCAAGCCAGGUCAUCUUUUCUGAUUACCCGGGCCACUUCCUCCCAGUGCGAUUCCUUCUGCAGGAAUCUCAGGCCAUUGCCUAGGCAGAUUUAUCUGGGCUGAUGAUCUCCCCCUGCAGGUCAACCUCACAGUGCCCAUGGACAGUGUGGACGGUCCUCGGAACGGAGGGGCGCCAUCGACAGGACUCAGGGGCUGGGAGGAAAGAGUGCCCUUGUGCGUGGGGUUGGAAAGUCCCGAUGUUCCUCUCUUCACGCCCGCCCAGAGAGUGU